RNAcentral lists this ribosomal RNA (487 nucleotides) under uncultured Lachnospiraceae bacterium. Its description in RNAcentral is "bacterial SSU rRNA". It matches the Rfam family "Bacterial small subunit ribosomal RNA", at positions 8 to 507 of the family's 1533-position model. Lineage: Bacteria; Bacillati; Bacillota; Clostridia; Lachnospirales; Lachnospiraceae. The record is from RNAcentral.
AGAGUUUGAUCCUGGCUCAGGAUGAACGCUGGCGGCGUGCUUAACACAUGCAAGUCGAACGAAGCAGGAGGGUGCUUGCACCUUCCUGACUGAGUGGCGGACGGGUGAGUAACACGUGGAUAAUCUGCCCUGCACAGGGGGACAACAGCUAGAAAUGGCUGCUAAUACCGCAUAAGCCUACAGCCUCGCAUGAGGGAGUAGGAAAAGAAAUUCGGUGCAGGAUGAGUCCGCGUCUGAUUAGCUAGUUGGAGGGGUAAGAGCCCACCAAGGCAACGAUCAGUAGCCGGCCUGAGAGGGCGACCGGCCACAUUGGGACUGAGACACGGCCCAAACUCCUACGGGAGGCAGCAGUGGGGAAUAUUGCACAAUGGGGGAAACCCUGAUGCAGCGACGCCGCGUGAGCGAGGAAGUAUUUCGGUAUGUAAAGCUCUAUCAGCAGGGACGAAAAAAGACGGUACCUGACUAAGAAGCCCCGGCUAACUACGUG